GACGAACGCUGGCGGCGUGCUUAACACAUGCCAGUCGAACGGAAAGGCCCUGCUUUUGUGGGGUGCUCGAGUGGCGAACGGGUGAGUAACACGUGAGUAACCUGCCCUUGACUUUGGGAUAACUUCAGAAAACUGGGGCUAAUACCGGAUAGGAGCUCCUGCUGCAUGGUGGGGGUUGGAAAGUUUCGGCGGUUGGGGAUGGACUCGCGGCUUAUCAGCUUGUUGGUGGGGUAGUGGCUUACCAAGGCUUUGACGGGUAGCCGGCCUGAGAGGGUGACCGGCCACAUUGGGACUGAGAUACGGCCCAGACUCCUACGGGAGGCAGCAGUGGGGAAUAUUGCACAAUGGGCGGAAGCCUGAUGCAGCAACGCCGCGUGCGGGAUGACGGCCUUCGGGUUGUAAACCGCUUUCGCCUGUGACGAAGCGUGAGUGACGGUAAUGGGUAAAGAAGCACCGGCUAACUACGUG
This 468-nucleotide ribosomal RNA is filed under the name uncultured bacterium. RNAcentral describes it as "partial 16S ribosomal RNA". It matches the Rfam family "Bacterial small subunit ribosomal RNA", at positions 28 to 507 of the family's 1533-position model. The record is from RNAcentral.